UACGAAGGGGGCGAGCGUUAUUCGGAAUUAUUGGGCGUAAAGGGCGCGUAGGUGGUUUGUUAAGUUGAUUGUUAAAUUUCAUGGCCUAACUGUGAGCAUGCGGUCAAGACUGAUAGACUAGAGGAUGGGAGAGAGAAGUGGAAUUCUCGGAGUAGCGGUAAAAUGCGUGGAUCUCGAGAGGAACACCGUUGGCGAAGGCAGCUUCUUGGCCCAUUGCUGACACUAAAGCGCGAAGGCGUGGGGAGCAAACAGG
RNAcentral lists this ribosomal RNA (253 nucleotides) under uncultured bacterium. Its description in RNAcentral is "partial 16S ribosomal RNA". It matches the Rfam family "Bacterial small subunit ribosomal RNA", at positions 524 to 776 of the family's 1533-position model. The record is from RNAcentral.